AUUUGCUUUGUCCUAGGCAGAGUUUUCUGGAUCCAUUUUUAAAUAUAGGACAAGUUUAAAGUGAAACUAAUAAUUACUUUAUUCUAAUAAGUAUGCAAAUGACAGGUCUGCAAAUUGGACAAAAAACUGCAAGUGAAGAGCAUUUGAAAUUAUGCCCAAUAUCACAUAUUUUGUGGUAGCCUACGGUUGUCUUACAUCCUGUUUUUUUUGUAGAAUUGUAUGCCUCUUUUGUCAGAAUUUGUGUAGUCCUAUUGAGUUGACUCAGCGUGAGGUUUAGUCUUGUGGGUUUUUCUAGGUUGUGUGUGUAUUGUGCUAGCAUCUAGAUAUCUGUGUCAGGGUGGAGGCCUUGCUCCAUUUGCACACAAUGAUUCGUUCUCAAAAGAAAAUACUUUUUUGAACUAUUAUGUUAAACAUACGGCCAGUAUGGAAGAUCUUUGUUUACAUAGUUUUUGAAAAAUACUCUGAAAUUAGCAGGUUUUUUCCAACUAUCUAGCUUACAAUUUUGUUUGUUCUUAAUAACAUACUGAGGAUGAAUUUUUUCUCAUGAGGGAGAUGUUCUUGGUCAAUAAAAGCAGAUGGGGGCAGGGACUUGACGCUUCAGUUUUUCAGCAAGUGAAACGCCUGCUGAGGUAUUCAAUCUACUGUCUGUGAAUACUUCUAGAGUUUAUUUUAUUAGCUCAUACGAUUUAGUGUACAAAUAAUAAGCUUGCUCUUAGUCUAGAGUAACAGGAGAAGGACGCUGUCACGUUUCCAUUGGCACAGGUCACUCUAGAAGGCCUUGUUGGUCUCAAUGUGGCACUGAUGUGUACUGGCAGGAUUAAGAAGUUCUGAGGGAAGCAAUGAGACUGAAACUUCUGCGCUUUCAGACUAGAUCUUUCCAAGCUUUAACAACAAUACGCCGAUGCCAAAACUUUAAUAAAACUGGAUGUCCUCUAUUAAAGCUGGAUAAUGAAGUUGACGGAACAGCUCACAGAACAGCAAAGUCUUGGAAUUUGUAUGCCCUGAAAACUGGUUCCCCUUCUUUGACAAGUCGAUGCGUGCAAGUCAAGAAUUGGCAAUGGCUCCGAGGAAAUGUAUCGGCUUUGGGAAACAAUGUUUGUUAUCAGAGUGGGGAGAUUUUUUUUUUAUCCUGGAAACGUGUUGGUACGGUGAUGAUGGAAAACUACAAGUUUAAUACAGAGCGUAUUAAAAAGCUUGGGAACAUAUCAUCAAGAUUUUACUCAGUUGUAUCAGCUGGUAAAAUUAUUCCCAAACACAAUAACCAGCUGGUUAAGAGGCCACCAAAGGCAUCAAGGACCAAGCAGCCAUCCAGAACUAACCAGCCACUACUGUCAGACAUGGAGAAUCUGAUGCAGUGCACAGCCUUUGCAACAGCAGAUGAAUAUCAUCUUGGUAAUCUGUGUCAUGACCUGACUUCACAUGGAUAUGUUGAAAUAACAAGUUUGCCUAGAGAUGCUGCGAAUGUUCUGGUCAUGGGUACUGAGAAAGCUGCAAAAGAAGAUGAUCCUGGCAUGAUUUUUUUCUUCCGGGAGGGGGCUGUUGUGUUCUGGAAUGUGGAAGAGAAAAGUAGCAAUGGAAGAACUUUGGAAGUACGCAAUUACAAGCCAUAUGAACUCCACAGGAUCAGUUACGAUGAAGAAUAUCAUGCAUGUGCUAGAACAGCAUGAAAUUCAGCCAUAUGAAGUUGCACUAGUCCAUUGGGAGAAUGAAGAGAUUAACUAUAGAAUAGGAGAUCAAUGAAGAUGCUUCAAUCCUGUUUUAACAGAGGUCAGUCAAAGCUUCAUAAAGGAGAAAUCUUGUUAAAUUCUGAACUGGAUAGUGAUG
RNA transcript from Apus apus (common swift), 1824 nucleotides. It is a transcript of the gene named required for meiotic nuclear division 1 homolog, with no coding region annotated. The transcript has 8 exons. The record is from RefSeq and is a predicted model, not a curated record. Lineage: Eukaryota; Metazoa; Chordata; Aves; Apodiformes; Apodidae.